Perognathus longimembris pacificus (Pacific pocket mouse) is the source of this 907-nucleotide long non-coding RNA. RefSeq lists it as uncharacterized. The transcript has 3 exons. Lineage: Eukaryota; Metazoa; Chordata; Mammalia; Rodentia; Heteromyidae. The record is from RefSeq and is a predicted model, not a curated record.
GGGAUUUGACAAGCUGGCUUCCAUAGCAUUUUUCAAACUAUAAGUCUUGAUCCCUUUGUAACUCCUGAAAUAAUUUUUUUGUAAAUUUAUUUUUAUUGGUAUUAUAAAGGAGAUGUACAGAGGGGUUCUAGUUACAUAUGUCAGGUAAAGAGUACAUUUCCUUUUGGACAAUGUUAUUCUUUCUUCUGUCUCCCAGUUCUUCCCUUCCAUUCCCACCCUUAGGUCGUGUAGUUCAUCUUCCACAUGGCAUCCAGUGAGCACCACUACUGCAUUUGUUCACUCUUGGUCUCUAUUUCUGUGCCCGCUCUUACUGAGGUCAGAGCAGCAGUGACUUUCCCACCUUUCCACGACUAUCCUGGACCCCAGGGAGAUGGACACACUGGAGCCCUGGCUGCAGGAUCUGUGCAGAUCAAGGCAGACAUGACAGGGUGAGCCGGGGCCAGCAGCGGCCCAGCAGGAGCCCUCAGAAGACAGUCUGCUCACCUCAAACUUCUCCUUGAAUGGUGAUGAAAAAUCUAGCCACCCUUGCUGCACAAUGGCAGGGCCAAGUUGAGUGAGCAAUGGCGCCUGCGCACGUGUGGGUUCUUCAGUGAUUCCUGCUCCGAGAUGUUGUCGGGUGCCGUCGGUACCACCCUCCAGCCUGUGCUUCAGACUGCCCGAGCUCCCGGCCUCCCCUACCCGGGCUGUGACACCAGGUCACAGCCUUCGCCAUGCCCCUCACCAAGAAAGGGUGUGACCAUUGUUCUCUUUCUGUCCCUGUGACCUGGCCAGGAAAUCAGUGCUCUGAUGUGUUUGUGGAAUGGAUAAAAUCUUAACUUCCUGGAAGUAGGGACUGGAUUUUUCUCUUCCUUGCCAAUUCCUCAUCCUAGUCCUGCCGAGAGCUGACCACCUAUGGGCCUUAUUGUAU